Molecule: ribosomal RNA, 443 nt
Filed under: uncultured bacterium
Lineage: Bacteria
Description: partial 16S ribosomal RNA
Rfam family: Bacterial small subunit ribosomal RNA
Source: RNAcentral
CCUACGGGGUGCUGCAGUGGGGAAUAUUGCACAAUGGGGGAAACCCUGAUGCAGCGACGCCGCGUGAGUGAAGAAGUAUUUCGGGUUGUAAACUUCUUUUAUCAGGGACGAAGCAAGUGACGGUACCUGAUGAAUAAGCCACGGCUAACUACGUGCCAGCAGCCGCGGUAAUACGUAGGUGGCAAGCGUUAUCCGGAUUUACUGGGUUUAAAGGGCGUGUAGGCGGGAGUGCAAGUCAGAUGUGAAAACUAUGGGCUCAACCCAUAGCCUGCAUUUGAAACUGUACUUCUUGAGUGCUGGAGAGGCAAUCGGAAUUCCGUGUGUAGCGGUGAAAUGCGUAGAUAUACGGAGGAACACCAGUGGCGAAGGCGGAUUGCUGGACAGUAACUGACGCUGAGGCGCGAAAGCGUGGGGAGCAAACAGGAUUAGAUACCCCUGUAGUC